UACGUAGGUGGCGAGCGUUAUCCGGAUUUAUUGGGUUUAAAGGGUGCGCAGGCGGCACGGCAAGCCGGCGGUCAAAUCGCGGGGCUCAACCCCGCCCAGCCGUCGGAACUGCCGGGCUAGAGUGGGCGAGAAGUGCGCGGAAUGCGUGGUGUAGCGGUGAAAUGCAUAGAUAUCACGCAGAACUCCGAUUGCGAAGGCAGCGCACCGGCGCCCUACUGACGCUCAGGCACGAAAGCGUGGGUAUCGAACAGG
This 252-nucleotide ribosomal RNA is filed under the name uncultured bacterium. RNAcentral describes it as "partial 16S ribosomal RNA". It matches the Rfam family "Bacterial small subunit ribosomal RNA", at positions 524 to 776 of the family's 1533-position model. The record is from RNAcentral.